Molecule: ribosomal RNA, 179 nt
Filed under: Ruellia pilosa
Lineage: Eukaryota; Viridiplantae; Streptophyta; Magnoliopsida; Lamiales; Acanthaceae
Description: 5.8S ribosomal RNA
Rfam family: 5.8S ribosomal RNA (bases 31-179)
About the family: 5.8S ribosomal RNA (5.8S rRNA) is a component of the large subunit of the eukaryotic ribosome. It is transcribed by RNA polymerase I as part of the 45S precursor that also contains 18S and 28S rRNA.
Source: RNAcentral
GGGUGUGGUGCGUAUCUUGAAUGUCAAAACGACUCUCGGCAACGGAUAUCUCGGCUCUCGCAUCGAUGAAGAACGUAGCGAAAUGCGAUACUUGGUGUGAAUUGCAGAAUCCCGUGAACCAUCGAGUCUUUGAACGCAAGUUGCGCCCGAAGCCUUCGGGCCGAGGGCACGCCUGCCUG